Molecule: long non-coding RNA, 1015 nt
Filed under: Capsicum annuum
Lineage: Eukaryota; Viridiplantae; Streptophyta; Magnoliopsida; Solanales; Solanaceae
Description: long non-coding RNA (CANN_LNC011518)
Source: RNAcentral
AUUAUUCAACACAAGAAUACCUCUUAAUGAUAUUAAAACUUGAUUCCAGAUCUAAAUGAUUAGGACAUAUUCAGAUCUAUUGAGAACUAAAAUAUAUUAAAAAAACAAUAGCACUUAAUGGUUUGAAGUCUGAACCAUUCAGAUUCAGACCUCCAUUAAGUGCAAACAAAUGAGGCCUAAAUCAGAUUACACGUGGAAAGGGGCGCUAGAAGAAUCAGAAAGUUGGCUUACUAGACGGAUGAUACUUAUCACUAGGUGCAGAUUGGCCCUCAAUGUAUUUUGUACAUAUACAAUGUCCCUACUUUAAGUCCUCAAAAAGUAGUAAAAUGUCUUGAGUUAGUGAGAAAGGAUUUUCUAUGACUGGGACAGAGAGAACUUCCAAUUUCAUCAAAUGAGAUGGAAGUCCAAACAGAAAAAGUGGCUGGAAUUGGGAAAUUCAAAAAUCAUAAUGAUAAUCAUUGCUAAGUGGCUGUGGAGAUUCAAUGACGAGGAAAAUGCACUUUGUAGUUAGAGCAAAAUAUGUUAUGGAGGUCUUGCAAACUAAAUCAUGUUCUUGGUCAUGGUGCAUGAACCUGAAGACAUUAGACUAUUUUUUUUUGAACUAGGUUACUUCGAAAGGGCAUUUGACUAUUAUGGGAGAGCUUCACAGAGAACAAGAUUUUCAAUGUAAGAAAUGGCACAUGGAACUUGUUUCCUGCUUGAUGCUUCGAUAGAACACUAAUCAUAGAAGCAAUCCCUACUAGUUACAGAAAUGCAGUUGAUUAGAGAAGCUAUAGCAUAUGACAGACUGACACCGAGAUGGACGUGGAACUCAGUAGCAACUUCAAUGAUUGGAAGGUGGAGGCUAUGUGCCAACUGUUACAGCUAUUUGCUAGCUUCAUAACCGUGCGUACAAGCCCUGACACUUACCAUGGUAUGGCUGUGUAAUGAGAAAUUCUUUGUUAAAACUUUUUAUAAAAUCCCAUGCAGAGUAAAAAUGCAGCAAUCUGGGUGGCCAUGAAAAUAUUCAAGAGUU